RNAcentral lists this ribosomal RNA (254 nucleotides) under uncultured bacterium. Its description in RNAcentral is "partial 16S ribosomal RNA". It matches the Rfam family "Bacterial small subunit ribosomal RNA", at positions 524 to 776 of the family's 1533-position model. The record is from RNAcentral.
UACGUAGGGUGCGAGCGUUGUCCGGAAUUACUGGGCGUAAAGAGUUCGUAGGCGGUUUGUCGCGUCGUUCGUGAAAACUUGGGGCUUAACUCCAAGCGUGCGGGCGAUACGGGCAGACUUGAGUACUACAGGGGAGACUGGAAUUCCUGGUGUAGCGGUGAAAUGCGCAGAUAUCAGGAGGAACACCGGUGGCGAAGGCGGGGUCUCUGGGUAGUAACUGACGCUGAGGAACGAAAGCGUGGGUAGCGAACAGG